RNAcentral lists this long non-coding RNA (328 nucleotides) under Urocitellus parryii (Arctic ground squirrel). RNAcentral's name for it is "lncRNA (ENSUPAG00010013642.1)". The record is from RNAcentral. Lineage: Eukaryota; Metazoa; Chordata; Mammalia; Rodentia; Sciuridae.
GGGGCGGGGCUCCAGGCUUGGGGUAGUCUUCUUUCUCUACGCUCGCUCUGCGGGUUAUUGGUGCUUUUAAGGAAGAGUCCUGAAGCAGUUCCGAGGCUACGUUGAAACCAAGUGGAGUCUGGGGGGCGAACGAGCUGGGGGACUGUACAGACUGCUUUUCGGAGUCCAAGGGCCUGAGCUCCCAGAUCGCUGUGUUCUCCCUCCUUCCCCGCCCCGGAGUGGGAAUCGCCCGCGGCCACCGUCUCCGCUCCUCUCCCGACGCAGCCAGAUUCUCUAUUCUGCCCUUCCCUGUGAGGAGGAAGACCAGCUGAGUUUCAGGGACCUCUUU